Molecule: ribosomal RNA, 253 nt
Filed under: uncultured bacterium
Lineage: Bacteria
Description: partial 16S ribosomal RNA
Rfam family: Bacterial small subunit ribosomal RNA
Source: RNAcentral
UACGAAGGGGGCUAGCGUUGUUCGGAAUCACUGGGCGUAAAGGGCGCGUAGGCGGCCGAUUAAGUCGGGGGUGAAAGCCUGUGGCUCAACCACAGAGUUGCCUUCGAUACUGAUUGGCUUGAGACCGGAAGAGGUAAGUGGAACUGCGAGUGUAGAGGUGAAAUUCGUAGAUAUUCGCAAGAACACCAGUGGCGAAGGCGGCUCACUGGCCCGGUACUGACGCUGAGGUGCGAAAGCGUGGGGAGCAAACAGG